Molecule: ribosomal RNA, 253 nt
Filed under: uncultured bacterium
Lineage: Bacteria
Description: partial 16S ribosomal RNA
Rfam family: Bacterial small subunit ribosomal RNA
Source: RNAcentral
UACAGAGGGUGCAAGCGUUAAUCGGAAUUACUGGGCGUAAAGCGUGCGCAGGCGGCUCCUUAAGUCAGAUGUGAAAGCCCCGGGCUUAACCUGGGAACUGCGUUUGAAACUGGGGAGCUGGAGUGUAGAAGAGGGGGGUGGAAUUCCAGGUGUAGCAGUGAAAUGCGUAGAGAUCUGGAGGAACACCGAUGGCGAAGGCAGCCCCCUGGGCUAACACUGACGCUCAUGCACGAAAGCGUGGGGAGCAAACAGG